UACGUAGGUGGCAAGCGUUGUCCGGAUUUACUGGGCGUAAAGAGCGCGCAGGCGGUCGAAUAAGUCGAAUGUGAAAGCCCCCGGCUUAACUGGGGAGGGUCAUUCGAUACUGCUCGACUUGAAGGCAGGAGAGGGUAGUGGAAUUCCCGGUGUAGUGGUGAAAUGCGUAGAUAUCGGGAGGAACACCAGUGGCGAAGGCGGCUUCCUGGCCUGUUCUUGACGCUGAGGCGCGAAAGCUAGGGGAGCAAACGGG
This 253-nucleotide ribosomal RNA is filed under the name uncultured bacterium. RNAcentral's name for it is "partial 16S ribosomal RNA". It matches the Rfam family "Bacterial small subunit ribosomal RNA", at positions 524 to 776 of the family's 1533-position model. The record is from RNAcentral.